This 158-nucleotide ribosomal RNA is filed under the name uncultured Sorangium sp. RNAcentral describes it as "partial 16S ribosomal RNA". It matches the Rfam family "Bacterial small subunit ribosomal RNA", at positions 355 to 506 of the family's 1533-position model. The record is from RNAcentral. Lineage: Bacteria; Pseudomonadati; Myxococcota; Polyangiales; Polyangiaceae.
UGGGGAAUCUUGCGCAAUGGGCGAAAGCCUGACGCAGCAACGCCGCGUGUGUGAUGAAGGUCUUCGGGUUGUAAAGCUCUGUGGAGGGGGACGAAUAAGGGUUGGCUAACAUCCAGCUCGAUGACGGUACCCCUUUAGCAAGCACCGGCUAACUCUGU